GGUGAACGCUGGCGGUAGGCCUAACACAUGCAAGUCGAACGGCAGCACAGUAAGAGCUUGCUCUUACGGGUGGCGAGUGGCGGACGGGUGAGGAAUACAUCGGAAUCUACUUUUUCGUGGGGGAUAACGUAGGGAAACUUACGCUAAUACCGCAUACGACCUACGGGUGAAAGCAGGGGAUCUUCGGACCUUGCGCGAUUGAAUGAGCCGAUGUCGGAUUAGCUAGUUGGCGGGGUAAAGGCCCACCAAGGCGACGAUCCGUAGCUGGUCUGAGAGGAUGAUCAGCCACACUGGAACUGAGACACGGUCCAGACUCCUACGGGAGGCAGCAGUGGGAAUAUUGGACAAUGGGCGCAAGCCUGAUCCAGCCAUACCGCGUGGGUGAAGAAGGCCUUCGGGUUGUAAAGCCCUUUUGUUGGGAAAGAAAAGCAGCAGGUUAAUACCCCGCUGUUCUGACGGUACCCAAAGAAUAAGCACCGGCUAACUUCGUG
This 491-nucleotide ribosomal RNA is filed under the name uncultured bacterium. RNAcentral describes it as "partial 16S ribosomal RNA". It matches the Rfam family "Bacterial small subunit ribosomal RNA", at positions 28 to 507 of the family's 1533-position model. The record is from RNAcentral.